This is a small nucleolar RNA of Lytechinus pictus (painted urchin), 77 nucleotides long. The record is from RefSeq and is a predicted model, not a curated record. NCBI's taxonomy places the organism in Eukaryota, Metazoa, Echinodermata, Echinoidea, Temnopleuroida, Toxopneustidae.
CUGCAGUGAUGUAAGAAUUUCUUCACCUGAUAUCAGAAGCUGAAGAUACACAAUCGAGCUUUUUAAAACUGAGCAGA